UACAGAGGGUGCAAGCGUUGUUCGGAAUCAUUGGGCGUAAAGCGCGUGUAGGCGGCCUUCUAAGUCUGGUGUGAAAGCCCGGGGCUUAACCCCGGAAGUGCACUGGAUACUGGAAGGCUAGAGGACGAGAGAGGACAUUGGAAUUCAUGGUGUAGGGGUGAAAUCCGUAGAUAUCAUGAGGAACAUCAGUGGCGAAGGCGAAUGUCUGGCUCGUAUCUGACGCUGAGACGCGAAAGCGUGGGGAGCAAACAGG
Molecule: ribosomal RNA, 253 nt
Filed under: uncultured bacterium
Lineage: Bacteria
Description: partial 16S ribosomal RNA
Rfam family: Bacterial small subunit ribosomal RNA
Source: RNAcentral